Molecule: small nucleolar RNA, 136 nt
Filed under: Stegastes partitus (bicolor damselfish)
Lineage: Eukaryota; Metazoa; Chordata; Actinopteri; Pomacentridae
Description: Small nucleolar RNA SNORA84 (ENSSPAG00000012035.1)
Rfam family: Small nucleolar RNA SNORA84
Source: Rfam by way of RNAcentral
GCCUGGUGGUUCCUAGAGUCAGCUACAAAGUGCUGAACUGUGGGUUUUUUUAAACAGGCGCAUAUUGAUUUCUGCGAUUUUAUGCAUGGAAGCUGCCACUAUAGCAGCCUUCCAUAGCCCGGUUGCAGAGACACUG